GAUAAGAACGCAGCGAAAUGCGAUAAGUAAUGUGAAUUGCAGAAUUCAGUGAAUCAUCGAAUCUUUGAACGCACAUUGCGCCCGCCAGUAUUCUGGCGGGCAUGCCUGUUCGAGCGUCAUUUCAACCAUCAAGCCCUGCUUGCGUUGGGGUCCUGCGGCUGCCCGCAGGCCCUGAAAACCAGUGGCGGGCUCGCUAGUCACACCGAGCGCAGUAAUACAUCUCGCUUUGGGCGUGCGGCGGGUUCUUGCCGUUAAACACCCCCUUUUUACCAAGGUUGACCUCGGAUCAGGUAGGAAUACCCGCUGAACUUAAGCAUAUCAAUAAGCGGAGGA
Molecule: unclassified non-coding RNA, 333 nt
Filed under: soil metagenome
Description: partial contains 5.8S ribosomal RNA, internal transcribed spacer 2, and large subunit ribosomal RNA
Rfam family: 5.8S ribosomal RNA (bases 4-119)
Source: RNAcentral